UUCGUAGGCGAUUUGUUUUGCUGCUGAGGGAACAGCUGCCGCCAAUUCGCUUCUUCUUUUUGGUCGAGCACGCAGCCCUGGUCGACGACAAGAAUACCGAUUUUAUGCUGUCAUCUCUAACAUAUUAGGUCUUUCGCGAAAUGGCAGACCCCGUGAACAGUCGAAACAAGAUCAACAAAAAAAGUGAAAAAGGCUGCAUUGAAAGAGCCACCUGGCGUCUUAAAGUUAGACGCUUAUCACCCCGUUUCAUGGCUUCGAGUUUUUGUCAGAUGCCCUGGUUACCAAAACAACCAAAGCAGCCGCAUAUCACAAGUUUCAUGGAUAAUAAGCGCGCAACGAUAAUUAAGACAUGUCCGGGACCUUAAAUCUGCACUGUUCCCUUUCACCGAAGAACUGCAGUGCAUCUGAAGAUUAGCUGCAAGUAAUGCCAAUUUGCAGAUUGAUUGCGCGAUACGAAACACAUGUGGAUGUUCAGAGCUGAAAUGGAUUGCUUUCCAUGGGGACAGGAUUGGAUGGUUACCUAGGCUAUGAGCAAGGACUCGUAUGCAUAUAUGUAUGUAGUAUCAAGCGGUGCAAUGAGAAGAAAAUAGAAAGCGCACGCGUCUCUUGCUGCUCUCAAAUACACGGAUGGCCGAUGGGACUCGGCUCGCCAAUCGAUGUCCCAACAGUUCCAGUUGGAGAGUGAAUGCCCCGUCAACACAACCUUGUUUCCGCAGAAACGCUGCUGAGUCGUUGAUCCGUCCAAACUUGAGUGUACCUUCGAUCUGGAUAACAAGUUCUCCAUCGAAGGGACCGGUUUCCACUCAGAAUAAUGCCAAGUCGGAUUAGAGCGCAGGCUAAGAUUAGAAUACAUAUAAUACACAACAUAACAAAAUGUGUAGAUUUUGUACAUAUAUCAAUAA
Drosophila subobscura is the source of this 902-nucleotide long non-coding RNA. RefSeq lists it as uncharacterized. The record is from RefSeq and is a predicted model, not a curated record. NCBI's taxonomy places the organism in Eukaryota, Metazoa, Arthropoda, Insecta, Diptera, Drosophilidae. The transcript has 4 exons.